AAGUCGUAACAAGGUUUCCGUAGGUGAACCUGCGGAAGGAUCAUUAAAGAGUACCGGCCACCGUGCCUGCUCCACCCCAUGUCUUAACCUAACCGUUGCUUUGGCGCGCCCGCCCUCCCCCUGGGCUACAAACCCGGGAGGGGCGUCGCGCCGGAGACCAAACCAAAACAACCUUUAACCGACGUCUGAGUAAAAUCUUAAUAAUUAAAACUUUCAACAACGGAUCUCUUGGUUCUG
This 237-nucleotide unclassified non-coding RNA is filed under the name air metagenome. Its description in RNAcentral is "partial contains small subunit ribosomal RNA, internal transcribed spacer 1, and 5.8S ribosomal RNA". The stretch from base 1 to 46 matches the Rfam family "Eukaryotic small subunit ribosomal RNA", at positions 1786 to 1831 of the family's 1831-position model. The record is from RNAcentral.